RNAcentral lists this transfer RNA (86 nucleotides) under Felis catus (domestic cat). It matches the Rfam family "tRNA". Rfam says of the family: Transfer RNA (tRNA) molecules are approximately 80 nucleotides in length. Their secondary structure includes four short double-helical elements and three loops (D, anti-codon, and T loops). Further hydrogen bonds mediate the characteristic L-shaped molecular structure. tRNAs have two regions of fundamental functional importance: the anti-codon, which is responsible for specific mRNA codon recognition, and the 3' end, to which the tRNAs corresponding amino acid is attached (by aminoacyl-tRNA synthetases). tRNAs cope with the degeneracy of the genetic code in two manners: having more than one tRNA (with a specific anti-codon) for a particular amino acid; and 'wobble' base-pairing, i.e. permitting non-standard base-pairing at the 3rd anti-codon position. The record is from Rfam by way of RNAcentral. Lineage: Eukaryota; Metazoa; Chordata; Mammalia; Carnivora; Felidae.
GCCCGGAUGGCUCAGUCAGUUGAGCGUCUGACUUCAGCUCAGGUCAUGGUCUCACUGCUCGUGAGUUCGAGCCCCACGUCGGGGCU